UCCGAGUUGUCCCCGGCAGUCUCUUAUGAGUCCCCGGCAUAACUCGCUGGCAACUAGAGACAGGGGUUGCGCUCGUUGCGCCACUUAAGGCAACACCUCACGGCACGAGCUGACGACAGCCAUGCACCACCUGUGCAGGCUCCGAAGAGCGCCCGCUUUCACGGGUUUCACCCUGCAUGUCAAGCCCAGGUAAGGUUCUUCGCGUUGCAUCGAAUUAAACCACAUGCUCCACCGCUUGUGCGGGCCCCCGUCAAUUCCUUUGAGUUUCAGCCUUGCGGCCGUACCCCCCAGGCGGGGCACUUCAUGCGUUAGCGCCGGUACUCCAAGGGUCGCUCCCCGGAGCACCUAGUGCCCAUCGUUUACGGCGUGGACUAC
RNAcentral lists this unclassified non-coding RNA (375 nucleotides) under uncultured bacterium. RNAcentral describes it as "contains 16S-23S intergenic spacer region". The record is from RNAcentral.